AGCCGCGUCCACAUGGCUUCAGGUGUUCACAUGGCAGUAAACGGGCCCCUGCUCUCCUGGGCGCCCCAGCGCGGCGCCCUCCCGCCCACAUCCCGGCCCAGCCCCGCUGGCCUCGCCUCCAGCCCGUAGCCAAGAGGCGAGCGCGGCCGGUGCCCCCGGGGCUGCCAGGGGCCCCGAAGCAGGCGGCGCUGACUCCCGGACGCCGCCCGCUCACACCCGCCGCCUUUGCACCCAAGGCCUCGCGCGACCAGCAGGUCACUGAUUCUACUACCAUCUGUCAGCGUGGAUUGAUUGAGGAGACUGGCCCUGCUCGGCAGAUCAGUGACUUGUGCGAAGUGAGCCAGGGUGUCGGUGCCUUCAGAGCAGGCGGAUGUCCUUCCUCACUUGCCAGCUCUCGUGAGCAGACACACAGCCCUCACCUUUAUCCUUCACCAAGCUCCAGCUCUCCUUCCUCUUGGGAGGCGCCGCCUGCUAACUCAGUCACACCAAGAGGGAGGCCUGGAAUUCCUGCUCACAAGCUCGGGGCUUCAUCUGCAGUCUGCCAGGAGGCAACUUACAAAAGCCUCUGGCUAACAGAGCGGGAAACUCCCCACAGCCUCCUGCUGUGCCUGUCCCCAAGCCACGCACUGUCCCCUUGCAAAGCACAAGGAUACUGAGAGUGCACAAACAGCAGGGGUGGAGAGCCUCUGUGGGCACGCCCUCAUUCUGUGCCCUCAUUCCACAGGAGCCCCUGCUUUGUGCAAGUCUCUGAGCCCGCAUGGAGGGAGCAUGGGGGCUCAGAACAGUUCUUUCUGGGGCAAGGUCAGGGGAGGCUCUAAAGUUAUGGUGGUGGGGAGGGCCUUAAAACAGAGGACCAGAGAAUACCAAGACUUAGGGGUGUGGGGGAGAGCCACCUGCUGUGCCCAGGAGGACUGUGCCCAGUGCAGGGGAAAAAGAUGAAGCUGCGGAGUUGGGCAAGGGUGGGAUCCUGCAGGGCCUUAGAGCAUUGACAUGUUUGGCAUGGAUUUGUUUCACAGGGUCCCACAGAAACUUCUGCUCUCCAGGUUUGCCCCUCCACUCUGCCCUCCAGGAUAGAAGUGUGGCAUCCUAAUCUGGGAUGCAUCCAUCUCUCCCCCUGGACUGUGAGCAUAUGCAGGGCAGAGACACCUCUGCUUCUCUUGGGUCUCCGGCAUCCUGUGCAGGUAUCACCCCUAUUUUACAGAUGGGGCCACUGAGGUGCAAAGAGUUUAACUUAUCCCAAGUCACACAGUUUGGAAGAGGCUGAGCUGGUAUUUGAACCCAGGUUUUCAGAGGCUGCACUCUUAACCACCAAGCUUCCCAGCACUCAGCAAACACUGGAAAGACAGAGAUGGACCUAGACAGUCAGUAGGACCAAAAGUCUGCAGGCCGAUAGGGAAAGAAUGUAAGAGGACGGCAUGGGCAGCGCCAGCCCCUCCAGCAGUCAUAUAUUAAGCCCUGGACACUGGGCAGCUCGGGCAGGUCGGGGGGCCUCAGACUCUCGGACCCCAUGCCUGGAAGACCACGGUCUGCCCAACAAGCAGCAGCUGCUGUGAAUCGACUUACACAUCUUCCCCACAGGUGAGCAGAGAGCUAACACCUGAGGAUAGGCCAAGAAACGGGAAGCCCGUGCAACCUGAGCGCACAGAUCACCCCCACCUGCCCGGCACUCACUGUCCCCAGUGGCUGGACUCUCAUCGGGCCAGUCACUGAGCUGGCGCCAGCCUGGUCUCACCAGUGUGUGUCUUUAAAUCAUCCAAUUUCUUCAGCUGUAAAUUGGGCUGGGAGGGGCCAGGUGAGCUGCCUGCCUCAGGGGAGUCGGCGCCCUUACCUGAGUGAUCCCAUUCACUCCUCACAACAAACCCAUGAGGCAGGGAUUGUCAUCUUCAUUGUACAGAGCAGGAAAUGGGUGCACACAGAGGUUAAGAGACUUGCCCAGGUCACACAGCUAGGAAGAGGCUGUGAUUUGAACUCAGUCUUCUGGCUCCAAAGCCCCCACAGAGUCACUCAGGGCACUACAAAGAGUUAACCUGAAUAUGAAAUGAUCUAAGAGUCGCAGUGACAAAGGCAUGCUCUAAGCGCUUUUCCUGCAGUAACUUGCUUAAUCCUUACAACAACCCUAUAAAGUGGGUACUGUUCUCGCCUCAUUUUGCAGAUGAGGAAACUGAGGCACAGAGCAGCUCGGAGGGGGCAGAGCUGAAUCUGACAGGCUACAGGGCCCCUGCGUUGCUUUGUUAUAAGAUGACAAUAAGGAAGUUCCUUUCCUUUGGGAUUAUUUCUGCCUGAAAGCUCAAGACUUUUAGCCACAUCAUUGUCUGGGCUCCACGGGAAGGCAGUGCCACAUGCUGAGGCAUGCUGGGAAAAGACUUUGUUCCAUCCUGUUUUGUUGACAUGCUCUUCAUUUUUAAGCCUGAAACCGAAGCUUCCUGCUAAGAAUUCAAACCAUGGAGAAAAACGCAGCCAUGAUAACGGCCACUACUUCCUGAGCCUCCAGUGUUCCCUGUGCUUGGGGAUCCAUAUAUGUCACUUAACCUUAACCUUCACAACACCAGGGCAGCCUCCAUUUUCACAAGUGAAGAAAUGGAGGCCCAGAGUCACUUAGAAGAUGCUCGAAGGUGCACAGCUGCUAAGUGGUGGUGCUGGGAUUUGUCCUCAGGUCCUCAAGAGUCCUGACUCUUAUGUGCUGGCUCCCCACGGAGGCGUGGAGUCUUGUUUGCUGGGCAUUUGACAGAAAUGUUUCUGCUCAUCUUCUGCCACAGGUUGGUCCUUCAGCGUCAAGAUUCCUGGGCCACUUAUUAAUAGAAGGCACCAGGACACAGGUGCAGGGAUGCAGAGCUGGAUGCUGCCUUCUCAAUAGGAGAAGCCAAGAAACGCAGAUGCCGAUGCUUAAUCAACUCCGUCUCUCCCUCUAGUGACUCGGGGAUAGCUGCCCUGAUGCCAAGGCGAUUGUCUUCUGGAAGCAGCCACGCCGUGUGAGGUUCCUCAUCACUGCCCUGCAUCUCCCUGCGAGCUCUCGGGGAUAAUUGCAAAAUCACGUUUGAUUCCAGGGGAGCAGAAAGCAGCAGGAGCCGUGAAUUCUCCAACUCUUAACUGGUCCUCGACUGGAGCCACUUUUCCCUGCCCACCCAUCCCUGUGGCGGAUUCAUUACAGUUAUCCAAAGCCGGUUUUAACUUUGCUCCCCCUGGCUCAGAAGUCUGUCAGUGGGUCCUGAGCGGCUUCACCAUUCAAGUUUAUUCCUAUCAGCCUGGAAUACAAUGCUCUAUCUGGCUCCGCUUGCUUCUCCAAACCUUCUCUCCCAGGUCUCAUUCUGCCUCUCUGUCUAACUAGACAAGUUGGCUUCCUGUCCUGUGCCUGUCUGCUCCCUGCAGCAGGAAUGCCGUUCCCUCUUCCCUACAGAUUGAAAUUAUAUCCUCUUUCAAGUCUUACUCAAAUGCCACCUCCUCCACAAACUCUUAACACUUAUUCAUUCAUUCAACAAACAUUGACUGAGCCCUUAUGACAAGCAUUGAUCCCAAGGGUCCCUGUGGUCAUGAAGUUUAUGGUGCCAUGGAGCUGUUAGAAAAAGAAUCAUCACAUAAAUAAUCAUCUGAUAACAGCCAUGAUACAAAUUAGUAAGAAAGUGUGGCAGGAGCACAGCAGAUGUACAAUAGGGACCCUGAGCCUUGGGGAUCUAGGACAUUUGAGCUGAGGCCUGAAAGACAAGUAGGAAGUAACCACAUGGUGAAGUUGGAGGAGAGCUCCAGGCAGAGGGCACGGCAUGGGCAAAGGCCCUGCGGUAGGAGGGAACAAGUAGAUUUCCAGGAAGGGCACAGGGGCCUGCAGGGUAAUGUAAGUGAAAUGAGAAAGCUGGAGAUGCAGCUGGAGCAGGACAGUACAGGCCACAGAGGCUUUGCGACUUUAUCCCUGGGCAAAAAGAGGAGAUGAUGAAGGAUUCUGAGCACAGGACACAAGCCAGUAUGUAUUUAGACGCGAUCCUGCCCUGUGGCUGAGCCUCUUCUGAGAAGUGCAGGCCCUGUGUCACGUCACCCUGAACCUCAGUCAUCAGGGUUUUGGAUGUGAGUUUCCAUAUCCCUCUUCCUAGGCCAAGCUCUCAAAGGCAAGGCUGACCUCUGGUCUUCAGCUUCAUCCUCAUCAGCCAGGCCAGUGCCCAGCACAAGGAGCUGCUCCAAAAACAUACGUGGGUUGAACCAGUGACCAGGACAAGACGCUUAUCAGCAUUUCCCUGCGAAGGAGCAGGGCUGCCUGUAAAGCCUUCCACAUUCUCUAGAAAUUACAAAGUUCAAGGGUUUUAGUGAGGCCACGACUCAGGGAGCCCUUGAGAGCCAAGCUGGCAUCCCACUGCUGUGCACACCCAGCCUGGGCACACAGUAUGACCCUGCCCAGGCAUCUGCCUGCGGCCGUCUGGUGAAUGACCAGAAACAGAACCGAAAGCUCUGUAAAGUGCUCUCAAGGUUACAAAGCAUGUUUCACAGGAGCAGUUUCAUCUCACACGGGCAGCCCUCUGAGCUGGGUAGUUACUGCUUUACAGAUGAGGAAACUGAGGCCCGGGAGAGGGCGGGACCUCAGCAAAUCAAGAAAAAACUGAGACUAGGACCUAACGGAAGUCCAGGCUAUGAAUGGCCCCCGUAGGGUUAAAAGAGCUUUCUAGAAAUUUCUUUGAAAACUAUUGUAAAGUGACAUAUUUCCUCAGGAUGUCUGUCACGCCAGCAGUGGGAGCCAACACACCAACUCUCAGAGGCUGUUCCCCCUGCGCGGCAGAUCCAGACGCUCAGCUCCCAGGCCUGGAGGCUGGCGGCUUAGCCCAGGGCACAGGAGGAGGCUGCCUGGGUUUGGCGCUGACUUACAGCAGGUGCUGAGGGAAUGCUGAGGAGAGGCAAGGCUGAUUCAAGAGGCCGACAACAGAGAACAUUCCUAGAGCUCUCCCGCCAGCUAGGCAUGGUGCUAAGUGCAUUACCUGCGUCCACUCGUAACAUCCUCACAACACUGUGAAUACGAUGACCAUCCCCAUGUACAGGCGUGGACGCUAAGGCUCAGAGCAAUAAAUAAUUAGCCUGAGAUCACACGGCAGGUGAGUGCAGAGGCCGGAUCUGAACCCACACAUUGCCCUUAAGCAACCCCAUGUCCUGAGCAAAGGUGAGCAGAAACAUCUUGGGAAGAGGGAACCACGACUGUAUCUUCCUCAGCAGACAUGAUGGUGCAGGGUACCCCUUCCCCUGCCCACCUGACGACCAUUAUUCCCAUUAUCAGUAUAUCCCUCUGUGGGCAAAUGAUGACAGACAUGCAUGGUAACCACUUCUUCACAAGUUUUGUGUCUCCCCAGCCUCCUCCCCUAGGGCUCUCUAGGCUUCCUUUACCCGUCCUGCCUCAGAUGGACUCCCAGCAUCAUCAUCUGCCUCUGUGCCUUCUUGGUAGUAGGUGGGUGUGAAAAAGAAAGGAAGGGCCAGGUGCAGUGGCUCAUACCUGUAGUCCCAGCACUUUGGGAGGCUGAGGCGGGCGGAUCACCUGAGGUCAGGAGUUCGAAACCAGCCUGGCCAACAUGGUGAAACCCUAUCUCUGGUGGCAGGUGCCUGUAAUCCCAGCUACUUGGAAGGCUGAGGCUGGAGAAUCACUUGAACCUGGGAGGCAGAGGUUGCAGUGAGCAGAGAUUGCGCCACUGCACUCCAGUCUGGGCAACAGAGCGACUCCCUCUCAAUAAAUAAAAUAAAAUAAGGAAGGACAGAGGGCAAUGUGACCUUCGGCAAGCUCCCUAAGCUCCUGAAGCCUCAGCCUUUUCACCCGUAGAACAGGGACAUUAACAUCACCCCCGAGUGAGGGCUGCAGGCACACAGUGACUGCGCUUCUCAGUGCCACAAGUGCUGUUGCCAUCAUUCCAGCCUCAGGUGCUCCGUGAGGUGGGACGAUUCACCCCAUGAGCAAACAGGCUCAGGGAGGUGUGGUGCCUACAGUCACCCAGCAGACACAGCGGAGCAAGGAGGAAGCCACACCUG
RNAcentral lists this long non-coding RNA (5985 nucleotides) under Homo sapiens (human). RNAcentral's name for it is "non-protein coding lnc-SMDT1-3:36". Lineage: Eukaryota; Metazoa; Chordata; Mammalia; Primates; Hominidae. The record is from RNAcentral.